This 29-nucleotide small nuclear RNA is filed under the name Arabidopsis thaliana (thale cress). Its description in RNAcentral is "snRNA_00772". Lineage: Eukaryota; Viridiplantae; Streptophyta; Magnoliopsida; Brassicales; Brassicaceae. The record is from RNAcentral.
ACGCCCGGUCGUACUCAUAACCGCAUCAG